CCUACGGGUGGCAGCAGUAGGGAAUCUUUCACAAUGGGCGAAAGCCUGAUGGAGCAACGCCGCGUGCAGGAUGAAGGCCCUCGGGUUGUUAACUGCUUUUAUAAGCGAGAAAUAUGAUGGUAACUUAUGAAUAAGGAUCGGCUAACUACGUGCCAGCAGCCGCGGUCAUACGUAGGAUCCGAGCAUUAUCCGGAGUGACUGGGUGUAAAGAGUUGCGUAGGUGGCAUAAUAAGUAGCUAGUGAAAUCUGGUGGCUCAACCAUUCAGACUAUUAGCUAAACUGUUAAGCUCGAGACCGUUAGAGGUAACUGGAAUGUCUGGUGUAGGAGUGAAAUCCGUAGAUAUUAGAAGGAACACCGAUAGCGAAGGCAGGUUACUGGGGCGGUUCUGACACUAAGGCACGAAAGCGUAGGGAGCGAACGGGAUUAGAUACCCCUGUAGUC
RNAcentral lists this ribosomal RNA (442 nucleotides) under uncultured bacterium. RNAcentral's name for it is "partial 16S ribosomal RNA". It matches the Rfam family "Bacterial small subunit ribosomal RNA", at positions 338 to 795 of the family's 1533-position model. The record is from RNAcentral.